GACGAACGCUGGCGGCGUGCUUAACACAUGCAAGUCGAACGGAAAGGCCCUGCUUUUGUGGGGUGCUCAUGUGGCGAACGCGUGAGUAACACGUGAGUAACCUGCCCUUUACUUUGGGGUAACUUCAGGAAACUGGGACUAAUACCGGACAUGAGCUCCUUCUGCAUGGUGGGGAUUGUAAAGUGUCGGCGGUUGGGGAUGGACUCGAGGCUUAUCGGCUUGUUGGUGGGGUAGUGGCUUACCAAGGCUUUGACGGGUAGCCGGCCUGAGAGGGUGACCGGCCACAUUGGGACUGAGAUACGGCCAAGACUCAUACGGGAGGCAGCAGUGGGGAAUAUUGCACAAUGGGCGGAAGCCGUAUGCAGCAACGCCGCGUGCGGGAUGACGGUCUGCGGGUUGGAAACCGCUUUCGCCUGUGACGAAGCGUGAGUGACGGUAAUGGGUAAAGAAGCACCGGCUAACUACGUG
Molecule: ribosomal RNA, 468 nt
Filed under: uncultured bacterium
Lineage: Bacteria
Description: partial 16S ribosomal RNA
Rfam family: Bacterial small subunit ribosomal RNA
Source: RNAcentral